GAAGGUAGCAGUCCAGUGGAGCAGACAUACAUACACAGAGUUGGCUAUGGUAAGCAAGUAAGACGUAAGCAAUAAAGUCUAUUUCAUUUUGGGUUUUUAGGGAAAUAAAGAUUUGAACUAGGCUCCAAGAGUUAGGUUGAAGCUUCCCAGACAAAUAAUAAGAAGCACCACUAGCAAGAACAGUCUGAACAAAGGUAUGGAGGUAUGAAAGCACAUGAGGAACUGAAGAAUGGUAAAUUAAUCUAGUCAUCUGAAAGGUAGAGGCUAUGAAGGGAGAGAUAAGGUGAUAAAAGUUGAUGGAGCACAUAGUGUCAAUGUACAAAAAUGACUGGGUAAUAUUGCAUCCAGAAAAAACAUGGAAAAGUACAGAACUGGUUUGUAAGUGUCAAGUGCUAUUCAACUUAAAGACAUGCAAGGGCAUGAAAACUCAACAAAAUGAUGAAUGAAAUUUAAGACCUAGGAAUUCAACCCAUUCUACCAAUCCUCCCCAUAAGCUAAAAGAAAGAGCCAGAUGAACUUGAUAUUAGAUUCUAGCUUUGCUUCUUAUUAUAUAUAUAUAGUCUUUUGCAAGACAAUCUC
RNAcentral lists this long non-coding RNA (579 nucleotides) under Marmota monax (woodchuck). The record is from RNAcentral. Lineage: Eukaryota; Metazoa; Chordata; Mammalia; Rodentia; Sciuridae.